GCUGGGCAUGGUGGCGCAUGCCUGUAAUUCCAGCUACUCAGGAGGCUGAAGCAGGAGAAUCGCUUGAACCCAGGAGGUGGAGGUUGCAGUGAGCCGAGAUCGUGCCACUGCACUCCAGCCUGGGCAACAGAGCGAGACUCUGUCUCAA
RNAcentral lists this non-coding RNA (148 nucleotides) under Gorilla gorilla gorilla (western lowland gorilla). Lineage: Eukaryota; Metazoa; Chordata; Mammalia; Primates; Hominidae. The record is from Rfam by way of RNAcentral.